Molecule: non-coding RNA, 23 nt
Filed under: Cricetulus griseus (Chinese hamster)
Lineage: Eukaryota; Metazoa; Chordata; Mammalia; Rodentia; Cricetidae
Source: RNAcentral
UGGCCAUGGUGGAAGGUGCUCUG